Long non-coding RNA from Pyrus x bretschneideri (Chinese white pear), 833 nucleotides. RefSeq lists it as uncharacterized. Lineage: Eukaryota; Viridiplantae; Streptophyta; Magnoliopsida; Rosales; Rosaceae. The transcript is spliced from 2 exons. The record is from RefSeq and is a predicted model, not a curated record.
UUUAUCUCCCUCUCCUCCUUCUAUUCAAACCUAACCCAACUGAACCCUCCUCCUUCUAUUCGAACAUAACCCAGAAAUCUUGAACCAUCCCUCUUUAUCUCCCUCUUUCCUCUUCACAAAUCUUGAACCCAAAAUCCCGUCCCCUUUCUUUUCCCGUAGACCCCAGAUCUCCUUCUCUCCUCUUCACAAAUCUUGAACCCCAAAUCUUUCCUCUUCACAAUCUUGAACCCAAACCUGUCUUUCCUCUUAACAAAUCUUGAACCCAAACGACAGACCUUCACGCAAAUCUCGAAGCCGACGCGAAUCAAGUCCCAAAAUCAAGUGUAUAGAUGUCGCAGUUGAUCACUCGUCGUCGGAGUGUGACCAAUGCACCUCCUGCAUUAUCAGCAUCUACGGCUCCAGCCGUGAGUGCUCCAUUGAUUAGCGAGCCUACACCCUUUGCUGAGGCCACUCCUACGGCGUCCCAGGUGCCCGUAUCAUCGACAUCAUCAGUGUCAGUUGAGCAGCUCAGUGCACGGCGGCCUCAUCGGCGGCGCCGUGAGUCGGAACCUUCUGAUCACACUUCAUCGGAUGUCCCAGGUGCCCGGGCGAGGAGAUGAGGUCAUAUGCCGGGGCGUGGAGAGACCUUGUACAAGCCAUACAGAUGUCCGGCCUUCAAAUCUCACUACCAGCACUUCAUCUUGGUCCACCUUCGACCUCAGAGCCACCUCGCCCUGCUGAUACCUAGUAGCUUGAUGUAUUAAACCUAGUUCACUUUUAGUUUUUUCUUUUUUGUUCGGAUCUUGUAUGUACAUUUUCAUAUAUUUUAUAAUUAAAUACUUUUGCUUGGUUAA